Molecule: non-coding RNA, 243 nt
Filed under: Enterococcus rivorum
Lineage: Bacteria; Bacillati; Bacillota; Bacilli; Lactobacillales; Enterococcaceae
Description: T-box sequence
Rfam family: T-box leader
About the family: Uncharged tRNA acts as the effector for transcription antitermination of genes in the T-box leader family.
Source: RNAcentral
ACAAAUGUUUUGAUAAGAACUAGUAAGAUAUAGACGUUAAACAGAAAGUAGCCGGCAGAUGAGAGGCGCAUAACAGAGAAGUAUCUGAAUUCCUCUUUGAACUUCGCGCUGAAAUAAGUAGGUUGCGACGGUAAUUGCGUCCGUUAUAAUGCUAGAGUAUAAAUUUGUACUUGAAGAGUCAAUUAGUGUGAACUGAUUGAAAACUAAGGUGGUAACACGGAUCAUUUCGGUCUCGUCCUUUUC